Egretta garzetta (little egret) is the source of this 2200-nucleotide long non-coding RNA. RefSeq lists it as uncharacterized. The transcript is spliced from 3 exons. Lineage: Eukaryota; Metazoa; Chordata; Aves; Pelecaniformes; Ardeidae. The record is from RefSeq and is a predicted model, not a curated record.
UCACGGGAAGAUAAAUACCAUGCAGUUCCUCCAAAAGAAGUGACUGAAGAAGCAGUCAGCAUCAGAUGGGUCAGUUCUUUGGGACCUGGAGGUUUUGCAACAGCUCAUGUCAUGUGUCUGUCCACCCCUGCCAUUUUGUACAAAUGUAGUAAACUUCACAGUCUGCACUAAUUAACACCAGGCCUGAAGAGGAGCUAUGGAUUGGGAAUUCAGGAGCAGGGGGGAUGUCCCUAAGCACCAAGCUGACAAGGUGCAACCUGUCCAAGAAAAGCCCUCUGUGGCAGUGGGUACACACAGCGACUCUCUCAAAUGGAUUUAAGUUGGUACAUGGGAGGUCCAUGGGUUCCCCUAUGUCUGGGCCUGGUUCUGCUGCCUCAGGUGACACCACGGUCUAAAAGCAGAGAGUCCCCUGAACUCCACUGAAAUCUUCCUUUGACUGCCAUAACUCUUGGUUGAAGACCAAUCUCUGUCUUAUGUUUGAGCAUCUCUAAGUAUUAAUAGCUACAUCUUCAGUGGCCCCUGUGAAGCAAAAAGUUAUAAGAGUUCUCCUCUUUCAAUGAGAAAACUGGAUCAUGAACAGACAAUAAUCCUCAUCUGUUUAUCUUGGAAUGACUUGGAGGAAGCUGUUGACAGCACUAGAAGAAACGGAGAUUUGGCAUUGGUUGAGUUCACUACAAGACCCUUACUUUUUUAGCAAAAUGGUCUGCUGGUGGUGGGAAGCAAAGAUGCUUCAGAUCUCAGCUGUGCUGGAAGAGCAAGUAGAGCCCAUGUAUGUGUGUGACUUCUGUCCCUUCCUACUAAUACGCAGUUUUGUGGUUAUGAUUUUUUUAGGCUUUUUUCUAUUUUGAUGUUUAGUCCUGAUAUAAUCCUGAUAGCAUGCUCUUCACUUCUUGAUUUCUUUGCCUUUUUAUUUAAUUCUCCAAAGCACUGAGGUAGGAGUCUACAUUUAUAUUCUGUUUUGGAGACAGAGCAGCGCGGCGCAUGUGCUGCAUCCAUUCAGGUGCUGAUCUGAUCAUGUCUCAUACUGGUACGUCUGGCAUCAAAGGCAGCGAGGAUGUCCAGUGCUUGCAGGGUCUCUCAUAAGGGGUCCCACAGCGAGAGGGCAGCAGUGCCACUGUAGAUGCUGGCCGGGACACGUGAUUCUUGGCUAAAGCUCUGCUCAUGUUACAGGGUAGAGGCACAACGGCAUGGCCCUCCCGCCUACAUCUAUGCUUUUUUGCUAAUUUGGCUGUCUUUUUGCUGGCUACGUUUCUGCGGUUGUGGAAAGAGUUUAUAAUGCAUCUGUGGUCCUUAAAGAUUCUCUGGCGCCCUGUUUCUCUGGAGUGAAGGGUGCUAUUAAAUAUAGCCUCCCACCAAAUUCCAGUGACUAAUCACACACAGAUCAUAGUCCCAAAGCAGCCAUGACUGAGAAGCCAACGACCCUCUGAGUAAUGCUGCAGGAAGAACUAACAUGCUUCUUCCCUGGCCUUGCACAGGCAAUGGGAAUGCUGAAUAAGAGUAGACCAAACAACGAGGCUGAUUCCUGAGCCAAAAAAAAAGUGCCUGCAGUCACUAGGUAUUGUCCACUGUUAAUGCUGAGCUUUCACAUGGCCACAGCUGAAGCACAGUGAAGGGGCUGAACAUGGAUGCUCUAAAGGUCUGGGGUGCAGUCAGCUGGCUGGCAGGUUGAUAGGAGAAUUUCCUAUCAUGAAGCUUUCCUUUGAGCUUAACAAAACUUUUAAGCACAUACCUCAGGGCAGAGAGGAGGUCUUGGGCCCAAUGGCACUGUUUGUGUUUAAGGUUAGUAUAAGUUUGAGCAUCCUACUGGAGUUAUGCUUUGGCUGAGAGUUAAAGGAUAAGUUCCUGAUAGAGCUCUUUCCCACCCAGAGAUACAGUUUUUGUCUUAGGCUUCUUAAGCUCUUUACAAGUGAACCCUGCCUUCCCCUUUAAAAAUAAUUUAUCUUGAAUAGCAAUUUAGUCAGCCACUUCAACCUGCACCUGUGAUGUUUGUGUUUGCUGCGAUUAUUUUUGUAACACUCAGAGGUGUCAUUUUUUUUCUCUGCACCUAAAUAGUAAACGACACAUUGAAAUGCAUAGCAUACAGGUUUUUUCAAAAAAUCAUUUGAAUACAAGAAUGAGGAUGGGAGCGUUUGUGGCAAGUUGCUGUGUUCAUGAACAAAUGGUCUCAAAGGAAUUAGCUUCCCAAAGCAAAUGCAGUCAU